AGCAUACAUGAUUAGUACCCCUGUUGUCCACCCGAUGAGUGCUAGGUGUUGGAGGUUUUCCGCCCUUCAGUGCCGGAGAUAACGCAUUAAGCACUCCGCCUGGGGAGUACGACCGCAAGGUUGAAACUCUGACGGGGGCCCGCACAAGCGGUGGAGCAUGUGGUUUAAUUUGAAGCUACGCGAAGAACCUUACCAGGUCUUGACAUCUUGCGCCAACCCUAGAGAUAGGGCGUUUCCUUCGGGAACGCAAUGACAGGUGGUGCAUGGUCGUCGUCAGCUCGUGUCGUGAGAUGUUGGGUUAAGUCCCGCAACGAGCGCAACCCUUGUUACUAGUUGCCAGCAUUAAGUUGGGCACUCUAGUGAGACUGCCGGUGACAAACCGGAGGAAGGUGGGGACGACGUCAGAUCAUCAUGCCCCUUAUGACCUGGGCUACACACGUGCUACAAUGGACGGUACAACGAGUCGCGAACUCGCGAGGGCAAGCAAAUCUCUUAAAACCGUUCUCAGUUCGGACUGCAGGCUGCAACUCGCCUGCACGAAGUCGGAAUCGCUAGUAAUCGCGGAUCAGCAUGCCGCGGUGAAUACGUUCCCGGGCCUUGUACACACCGCCCGUCCCAUGUAACACCCAAAGUCGGUGGGGUAACCUUUUAGGAGCCAGCCGCCUAAGG
Molecule: ribosomal RNA, 669 nt
Filed under: Limosilactobacillus fermentum
Lineage: Bacteria; Bacillati; Bacillota; Bacilli; Lactobacillales; Lactobacillaceae
Description: bacterial SSU rRNA
Rfam family: Bacterial small subunit ribosomal RNA
Source: RNAcentral